CUACGGGUCGCUGCAGCUAAGAAUCUUCCGCAAUGGACGAAAGUCUGACGGAGCGACGCCGCGUGAACGAUGAAGGCCAUGAGGUUGUAAAGUUCUUUUCCGAGGGGAGAAUAAGGAUGGCAGGGAAUGGCCGUCUGAUGACGUGAACUCGGGAAUAAGCCCCGGCUAACUACGUGCCAGCAGCCGCGGUAACACGUAGGGGGCGAGCGUUGUUCGGAAUCAUUGGGCGUAAAGGGUGCGCAGGCGGUUAUGCAAGUCUGGUGUGAAAGGUCUCGGCUCAACCGAGGAAACGCGCUGGAAACUGUGUAACUAGAGUACAGGAGGGGGAGUUGGAAUUCCAGGUGUAGGGGUGAAAUCUGUAGAUAUCUGGAAGAACACCGGUGGCGAAGGCGAACUUCUGGCCAUGUACUGACGCUGAGGCACGAAGGCGUGGGGAGCAAACAGGAUUAGAUACCCCCGUAGUC
Molecule: ribosomal RNA, 464 nt
Filed under: uncultured bacterium
Lineage: Bacteria
Description: partial 16S ribosomal RNA
Rfam family: Bacterial small subunit ribosomal RNA
Source: RNAcentral